AUUAAUGUCAAUUAAUUAAAAUAAUCAAGAUAAACUUAAAAGGGGAUUAGGGUUUGAGAGUUGUGACCAUUCAUCUCACGUUCUUCUUUCUCCUCUUCCUCCUUGCACUCACGAAGCCGCGGCGGAGGAGACAGAGACGGUGUGGUGGUUUCCAUUCUCGGAUUCUCUAAGCGACCGGCAUUCUUCUCCCUCGCUCAUCUUUCUCCGAUACUCUCAGUUCCCUUUCUCGAUCUUGAACUCUCUUCGCCGUUCGUUCUCGCCCCUACUUAUGGAUUCAACAUGAUGAUGAGGUUGAUGAUUCUCUGCAGUUGCGAUGAAGAUGAUUUGGUUGCGAUUCUCAGAGUUGGACAACGAUCGAUGAUUUGAUGGAUAUCGAAUCUUGAUUGAAGAUGGUGAAGAAACGUUGACGCUGGAGUCGUUGUCGAUGGAGUUCUAUGGAGUUUUGUCGAUGGUUGAUGGUGAGGAUGUAGGUUGAAGAGAGAAUGAAGAUUUGAUGACGGUGGAGAUUGUAGCGUUCUUGGUGACGAACAGAUGACGAAUGAUGGUGGUGAUAUGAAGAAUUGAUUCUUCUGACUUCGUGAAUCUGGUUUUUGAUUGUUGUUUCUUUUGUUUGCAGAUUGAAGGAUGGAGAGAGCUGAAGGUGGAUGGUUGCAGAUCGUUGAUUCAGUGUGAAGAUGAAGAAGGUUAUGGUGAUGAUGAAAGAGUAGAGAAGAAGAUCGAUUUUGUGGAGUUUCCGCAGAGGUUGAAGAUUGGUGGUUGAUGAAGUGAAGAGAGGUAGAAGAAGGGAGCCAGAUGAAUGUUGAAGUCUGAAGGUGGAGGAAAGUGGCGUGUGAAAUGGUGGUCGAAGGUGAUGCGUGCGGAGUGUGAAAAAGAAGAGAGAGUCCGAGAUUAAAGGGUUGUAUGUUGAUUCAGAUUGGCAUAGCACGACGAAUCGAAUGCUGCGGUUUAUUGUUUUGGGAAUCGGUAGCUUAAAGAAGUGGACUGGCUUUAUUAACAGUGAAGUAAUUUGAAUGUAGUGUGGGAGCUGUUUGGAUUUUGAACUGGAUGUGUGUAUUGCUUUUUUCAUGCGCUGAGUUAGGACAUUCUUGUAGAAUCACAACGUGAAUGGCUUUGUACAAGUCGGGCGGCUAGUGUGAAUUAUCGGCUGCUUUAAUGCCGUCGGCGAUUUUCCUUCUGGUACAGGAGCAAGAGGAUAUUGAACAUGAAGCCCAUGGUUUGAUGUAUUAAGAUAUGGAGCAAAGCUGCUCAUGAUGUAGCUCAGGAUUAAGAUAGUUUGCAAUGUGAUGUAGACUUAACUGAACCUUGUAACAGAUUGGACUUGGUCUUGUAAUAAAAGUUGUAUUUUUGAUGGAUUGUAGAAUUCUUUUCUCUUUUUCUUUGUAAAAUAACAGUGUGAAAUUAGGAUGCAGCUGAAUGAGACCAUAGAACUUAAUGUAAUUUGCUGAUUGUAUCUCCC
Vicia villosa (hairy vetch) is the source of this 1456-nucleotide long non-coding RNA. RefSeq lists it as uncharacterized. Lineage: Eukaryota; Viridiplantae; Streptophyta; Magnoliopsida; Fabales; Fabaceae. The transcript is spliced from 4 exons. The record is from RefSeq and is a predicted model, not a curated record.